RNAcentral lists this ribosomal RNA (459 nucleotides) under uncultured bacterium. RNAcentral's name for it is "partial 16S ribosomal RNA". It matches the Rfam family "Bacterial small subunit ribosomal RNA", at positions 338 to 795 of the family's 1533-position model. The record is from RNAcentral.
CCUACGGGUGGCAGCAGUGAGGAAUAUUGGUCAAUGGGCGCGAGCCUGAACCAGCCAAGUAGCGUGAAGGAUGACUGCCCUACGGGUUGUAAACUUCUUUUAUAAAGGAAUAAAGUGAGGCACGUGUGCCUUUUUGUAUGUACUUUAUGAAUAAGGAUCGGCUAACUCCGUGCCAGCAGCCGCGGUAAUACGGAGGAUCCGAGCGUUAUCCGGAUUUAUUGGGUUUAAAGGGAGCGUAGAUGGGUUGUUAAGUCAGUUGUAAAAGUUUGCGGCUAAACCGUAAAAUUGCAAUGAAACUUGGCAGUCUUGAGUACAGUUGAGGUAGGCGAAAUGCGUGUUGUGGCGGUGAAAUGCUAGAUAUCACGAAGAACUCCGAUUGCGAAGGCAGCUUACUAAACUGCCACUGACAUUGAUGCUCGAAAGUGUGGGUAUCAAACAGGAUUAGAUACCCUUGUAGUC